GGGGGUGACCGGCUUUGACAGCAUGUAGAAGCGGUAGAUAAGCAUGCAGAGUUUUGAUGUUGAAACUCUAUAAUCGCAACAGCAUCAAACUAUAAUUGGCGAAAAUAACAAUUACGCUCUCGCUGCGUAAGCUGAAGUACAGUAGGCUUCCUUAAUUCAUCGCCAAAGGAUGCGAUGAACGAGACAUCAGCCCAUUGCCCGGUUCCGAGACGUUUGGAUAAGCUGGUGCUAAGAAAUUCGGAAAUAGGGGAGAAGGUGCCUUGACUUCUUCCCGAAAAAUAAAGGAUAAGGUUAUGAUUGGUUGUCGUGAGCCUGUCAUGACUCGAAAAUCAAGUCAAUGACUAAGCAUGUAGAAAGUCUAUUGAUUCCAUGUUUGGACGAGGGUUCAAACCCCUCCACCUCCACAU
RNAcentral lists this transfer-messenger RNA (407 nucleotides) under Muribaculaceae bacterium. It matches the Rfam family "transfer-messenger RNA". From Rfam's summary of the family: Bacterial tmRNA, also known as 10Sa RNA or SsrA, is named for its dual tRNA and mRNA-like properties. Its role is to liberate the mRNA from a stalled ribosome. The record is from RNAcentral. Lineage: Bacteria; Pseudomonadati; Bacteroidota; Bacteroidia; Bacteroidales; Muribaculaceae.